GGGGUGGUGGCUCAGUGGUAGAGCACUUGCCCAGCACGCAUGAGCCACUGGGUUCCAUCCUCAGCAGCGCCA
This 72-nucleotide transfer RNA is filed under the name Ictidomys tridecemlineatus (thirteen-lined ground squirrel). RNAcentral describes it as "Spermophilus tridecemlineatus (thirteen-lined ground squirrel) tRNA". It matches the Rfam family "tRNA". From Rfam's summary of the family: Transfer RNA (tRNA) molecules are approximately 80 nucleotides in length. Their secondary structure includes four short double-helical elements and three loops (D, anti-codon, and T loops). The record is from Rfam by way of RNAcentral. Lineage: Eukaryota; Metazoa; Chordata; Mammalia; Rodentia; Sciuridae.